GACGAACGCUGGCGGCGUGCUUAACACAUGCAAGUCGAACGGAAAUGCCCUGCUUUUGUGGGGUGCUCGAGUGGCGAACGGGUGAGUAACACGUGAGUAACCUGCCCUUGACUUUGGGAUAACUUCAGGAAACUGGGGCUAAUACCGGAUAGGAGCUCCUGCUGCAUGGUGGGGGUUGGAAAGUUUCGGCGGUUGGGGAUGGACUCGCGGCUUAUCAGCUUGUUGGUGGGGUAGUGGCUUACCAAGGCUUUGACGGGUAGCCGGGCUGAGGGGGUGACCGGACAAAUUGGGACUGAGAUACGGCACAGACUAAUACGGGAGGCAGGAGUGGGGAAUAGUGCACAAUGGGCGGAAGCCUGAUGCAGCAACGCCGCGUGGGGGAUGACGGCAUUCGGGUUGUAAACCGCUUUCGCCUGUGACGAAGCGUGAGUGACGGUAAUGGGUAAAGAAGCACCGGCUAACUACGUG
RNAcentral lists this ribosomal RNA (468 nucleotides) under uncultured bacterium. RNAcentral describes it as "partial 16S ribosomal RNA". It matches the Rfam family "Bacterial small subunit ribosomal RNA", at positions 28 to 507 of the family's 1533-position model. The record is from RNAcentral.